RNAcentral lists this ribosomal RNA (253 nucleotides) under uncultured bacterium. RNAcentral's name for it is "partial 16S ribosomal RNA". It matches the Rfam family "Bacterial small subunit ribosomal RNA", at positions 524 to 776 of the family's 1533-position model. The record is from RNAcentral.
UACAGAGGGGGCAAGCGUUGUUCGGAAUUACUGGGCGUAAAGGGCGCGUAGGCGGCCCUCUAAGUCAGACGUGAAAUCCCUCGGCUCAACCGGGGAACUGCGUCUGAGACUGGGGGGCUUGAAUCCGGGAGAGGGAUGUGGAAUUCCAGGUGUAGCGGUGAAAUGCGUAGAUAUCUGGAGGAACACCGGUGGCGAAGGCGGCAUCCUGGACCGGUAUUGACGCUGAGGCGCGAAAGCCAGGGGAGCAAACGGG